RNAcentral lists this ribosomal RNA (253 nucleotides) under uncultured bacterium. RNAcentral describes it as "partial 16S ribosomal RNA". It matches the Rfam family "Bacterial small subunit ribosomal RNA", at positions 524 to 776 of the family's 1533-position model. The record is from RNAcentral.
UACAGAGGGUGCAAGCGUUAUUCGGAAUUAUUGGGCGUAAAGAGCGUGUAGGUGGUUUGGUAAGUCUGAUGUGAAAUCCCUGGACUCAAUUCAGGACGUGCAUCGGAUACUGCCAGGCUAGAGUGCAGGAGAGGUAGGCGGAAUUCCAGGAGUAGAGGUGAAAUUCGUAGAUAUCUGGAGGAACAACAGAGGCGAAGGCGGCCUACUGGACUGCAACUGACACUAAGGCGCGAAAGCGUGGGGAGCAAACAGG